CCUGAUCUCUGGACCCUCUAGAGAUAGAGUUCCCCUUCGGGGGACAGAGUGACAGGUGGUGCAUGGUUGUCGUCAGCUCGUGUCGUGAGAUGUUGGGUUAAGUCCCGCAACGAGCGCAACCCUUAAGCUUAGUUGCCAUCAUUAAGUUGGGCACUCUAAGUUGACUGCCGGUGACAAACCGGAGGAAGGUGGGGAUGACGUCAAAUCAUCAUGCCCCUUAUGAUUUGGGCUACACACGUGCUACAAUGGACAAUACAAAGGGUAGCGAAACCGCGAGGUCAAGCAAAUCCCAUAAAGUUGUUCUCAGUUCGGAUUGUAGUCUGCAACUCGACUAUAUGAAGAUGGAAUCGCUAUAAUCGUAGAUCAGCAUGCUACGGUAAAUACGUUCCCGGGCCUUGUACACACGG
This 407-nucleotide ribosomal RNA is filed under the name uncultured bacterium. Its description in RNAcentral is "bacterial SSU rRNA". It matches the Rfam family "Bacterial small subunit ribosomal RNA", at positions 980 to 1392 of the family's 1533-position model. The record is from RNAcentral.